AUUGAACGCUGGCGGCAGGCCUAACACAUGCAAGUCGAACGGUAACAGGAAGAAGCUUGCUUCUUUGCUGACGAGUGGCGGACGGGUGAGUAAUGUCUGGGAAACUGCCUGAUGGAGGGGGAUAACUACUGGAAACGGUAGCUAAUACCGCAUAACGUCGCAAGACCAAAGAGGGGGACCUUCGGGCCUCUUGCCAUCGGAUGUGCCCAGAUGGGAUUAGCUAGUAGGUGGGGUAACGGCUCACCUAGGCGACGAUCCCUAGCUGGUCUGAGAGGAUGACCAGCCACACUGGAACUGAGACACGGUCCAGACUCCUACGGGAGGCAGCAGUGGGGAAUAUUGCACAAUGGGCGCAAGCCUGAUGCAGCCAUGCCGCGUGUAUGAAGAAGGCCUUCGGGUUGUAAAGUACUUUCAGCGGGGAGGAAGGGAGUAAAGUUAAUACCUUUGCUCAUUGACGUUACCUGCAGAAGAAGCACCGGCUAACUCCGUG
This 490-nucleotide ribosomal RNA is filed under the name uncultured bacterium. RNAcentral's name for it is "partial 16S ribosomal RNA". It matches the Rfam family "Bacterial small subunit ribosomal RNA", at positions 30 to 507 of the family's 1533-position model. The record is from RNAcentral.